RNAcentral lists this ribosomal RNA (497 nucleotides) under uncultured bacterium. RNAcentral's name for it is "partial 16S ribosomal RNA". It matches the Rfam family "Bacterial small subunit ribosomal RNA", at positions 28 to 507 of the family's 1533-position model. The record is from RNAcentral.
GAUGAACGCUGGCGGCGUGCCUAAUACAUGCAAGUCGAGCGAACGGACGAGAAGCUUGCUUCUCUGAUGUUAGCGGCGGACGGGUGAGUAACACGUGGAUAACCUACCUAUAAGACUGGGAUAACUUCGGGAAACCGGAGCUAAUACCGGAUAAUAUUUUGAACCGCAUGGUUCAAAAGUGAAAGACGGUCUUGCUGUCACUUAUAGAUGGAUCCGCGCUGCAUUAGCUAGUUGGUAAGGUAACGGCUUACCAAGGCAACGAUGCAUAGCCGACCUGAGAGCGUGAUCGGCCACACUGGAACUGAGACACGGUCCAGACGCCUACGGGAGGCAGCAGUAGGGAAUCUUCCGCAAUGGGCGAAAGCCUGACGGAGCAACGCCGCGUGAGUGAUGAAGGUCUUCGGAUCGUAAAACUCUGUUAUUAGGGAAGAACAUAUGUGUAAGUAACUGUGCACAUCUUGACGGUACCUAAUCAGAAAGCCACGGCUAACUACGUG